CGUGCCUAAUACAUGCAAGUCGAGCGGACAGAUGGGAGCUUGCUCCCUGAUGUUAGCGGCGGACGGGUGAGUAACACGUGGGUAACCUGCCUGUAAGACUGGGAUAACUCCGGGAAACCGGGGCUAAUACCGGAUGGUUGUUUGAACCGCAUGGUUCAGACAUAAAAGGUGGCUUCGGCUACCACUUACAGAUGGACCCGCGGCGCAUUAGCUAGUUGGUGAGGUAACGGCUCACCAAGGCAACGAUGCGUAGCCGACCUGAGAGGGUGAUCGGCCACACUGGGACUGAGACACGGCCCAGACUCCUACGGGAGGCAGCAGUAGGGAAUCUUCCGCAAUGGACGAAAGUCUGACGGAGCAACGCCGCGUGAGUGAUGAAGGUUUUCGGAUCGUAAAGCUCUGUUGUUAGGGAAGAACAAGUGCCGUUCAAAUAGGGCGGCACCUUGACGGUACCUAACCAGAAAGCCACGGCUAACUACGUGCCAGCAGCCGCGGUAAUACGUAGGUGGCAAGCGUUGUCCGGAAUUAUUGGGCGUAAAGGGCUCGCAGGCGGUUUCUUAAGUCUGAUGUGAAAGCCCCCGGCUCAACCGGGGAGGGUCAUUGGAAACUGGGGAACUUGAGUGCAGAAGAGGAGAGUGGAAUUCCACGUGUAGCGGUGAAAUGCGUAGAGAUGUGGAGGAACACCAGUGGCGAAGGCGACUCUCUGGUCUGUAACUGACGCUGAGGAGCGAAAGCGUGGGGAGCGAACAGGAUUAGAUACCCUGGUAGUCCACGCCGUAAACGAUGAGUGCUAAGUGUUAGGGGGUUUCCGCCCCUUAGUGCUGCAGCUAACGCAUUAAGCACUCCGCCUGGGGAGU
This 857-nucleotide ribosomal RNA is filed under the name Bacillus subtilis. RNAcentral describes it as "bacterial SSU rRNA". It matches the Rfam family "Bacterial small subunit ribosomal RNA", at positions 43 to 881 of the family's 1533-position model. The record is from RNAcentral. Lineage: Bacteria; Bacillati; Bacillota; Bacilli; Caryophanales; Bacillaceae.